This is an RNA transcript of Xenia sp. Carnegie-2017, 904 nucleotides long. RefSeq lists it as uncharacterized. The transcript is spliced from 4 exons. NCBI's taxonomy places the organism in Eukaryota, Metazoa, Cnidaria, Anthozoa, Malacalcyonacea, Xeniidae. The record is from RefSeq and is a predicted model, not a curated record.
UGGAAUAACGACGACUUGUAUGAUCUUGUGAAUUUUCAGAAUUGCCUUUUCUGCAGAGUCGGAAUGACAUAUAAUGCUUUGUGCACCAGUAAGGUUGAUGGAUCUUUUGUGGUACAAAAUGUGCCAGUUAUUGAAAACUUGAAUUUAACCCCGUAUUAUGAAGAGUAUAAAAGACUUGGCUUUGGCUCUGUACUUGAAGAACGUAUAGGGAGUAAAAGUGGAUCUUGGAGGCUUUCUAUGGUCAAUCUUUCGUACGCAGCCUGUCGAAGUUACCCGGCUGUUUUAGUGGUGCCAUAACACGUGACCGAUGACUCUUUGUUUCGCUUGUCUAAAAACCAUCGCCAUAUGCGUUUUCCUGUUGCGACGUGGAGACAUAAAGUCAAUAAAUUCGCCGUUUUAUUGCGAUCUUCUGCCAUUGAACGAAGCUCUGUGGCAUCCAUCAUUCGCUCUGGUGAGGCUGCAAGUGGUGGAAGCACUGACGCAAUACGUUCAUCCAACGUGGAGCAAGAUAAAUAUUUAUCUGCCGUUGUGUCUUCAAAUCCUGUAUCGUGGAAUAAAGCAGAGGCGAAACAUCGUUCACUGGCAGCCAACGUCAGCAUGUCUAAAGCAACGAUGAAUCUACGAUCAAAUGACAAAGCAUCUAAACGUGUUUCUGUUGUGGAUUCCGUUGACAAAGCAAUAACUGAGCAAGGAUGGGAGCCUGCCGCAUUGUACGUUUUUUAAUCUUUCUUGGUGUUUUUAUUAUCUGUUUUAUUAUUUUAGCGAUAGUCAAUGGCGAUAGUAGUGUAAGCUCUCAAUACCCAAGCACAAGAUCUUACGUUUUGUCAUAUCCAGUUCCUUUGAAAUGGAUUGUUUUUUUUUCAUUUCCAUUUUAAUAUGCAUAAAUAAAUAUUCUCCACUCCCC